CCUAUGGGGUGCAGCAGUCGCGAAAACUUUGCAAUACACGAAAGUGUGACAGGGCUAUCCCGAGUGCCAUCCGCUGAGGAAGGCUUUUACCCAGUCUAGAACGCUGGGGGAAUAAGGAGAGGGCAAGUCUGGUGUCAGCCGCCGCGGUAAUACCAGCUCUCCGAGUGGUGUGGAUGUUUAUUGGGCCUAAAGCAUCCGUAGCUGGCUAAGUUAGUCCCCUGUUAAAUCCAACGAAUUAAUCGUUGGAUCGCGGGGGAUACUGCUUGGCUAGGGGACGAGAGAGGCAGACGGUAUUUCCGGGGUAGGGGUGAAAUCCUAUAAUCCCGGGAAGACCACCAGUGGCGAAGGCUGUCUGCUAGAACGCGCCCGACGGUGAGGGAUGAAAGCUGGGGGAGCGAACCGGAUUAGAUACCCCCGUAGUCC
This 423-nucleotide ribosomal RNA is filed under the name uncultured Thermoprotei archaeon. Its description in RNAcentral is "bacterial SSU rRNA". It matches the Rfam family "Archaeal small subunit ribosomal RNA", at positions 322 to 747 of the family's 1478-position model. Lineage: Archaea; Thermoproteati; Thermoproteota; Thermoprotei. The record is from RNAcentral. RNAcentral also lists the same sequence under 1 other name.